CUCACACGCGCACGCGCGCGCACACCAAUUUGGUCACGAUUGACAAAAGCGUUGUGUGGAAGACCGGAGCGGUUUUUCUUCGUACUUUUUGGUAUAAAAUCAGACUUAAAGCGCACAAAUAUCAAAACGCUAAAUCACUUUUUCUCUUCGUUAAAGACGUUUGUGGGUUUUUUCCAUUUUGGUUGAGUCUGAAAUCAAGUUUUUCGAUUGGAGACCCAGUUUUUACGCAUUUCCAGGAGGCAUCAUCUCAGAUAAUCCGCUUCUUUUACUUUGUUUUCGUCAACGAAUAAGCAGGAAUACCUUCGAUGACAAACAACAAGAUUUUUUUUUCUUCUUCUUCUUUUUAUUAUUAUUAUUUUACAUCAAAUGGACUUAAGAAAGAGGAAUGUCUUUGUUCAUUUGGAAAACAGCGAGUCUCGCUUCCUCAAAGUCUUGCGCGCGCGUAAUGUAGGUGUCCACAAUGUUGCGCGCUGAAUAGAGUCAUCACAGUCCUCUUCUUCGUGCACUGGAGUUCCAGUUUAUGGAAAAAAUGAGAAUCCAGCGUUUAUAUUUUAAGGAGUUUGGAGGCUGCUAAGGACUGCUGCUCUUUCAGACCCUGGAGUGUCAUCUCUUUUCCCCCUCGCCAUGGCAUCUUACUGGAAGUAUGCUCAGAGUGAAAGAUGGCUUUCGACUUCCCCUCAUUUCACUGUUUUCUCCGUCUGUGUGCAAUAGCACUGAUGCAGUGAAAUCUUGAUUUUUGUUUAGUGUGUGGUUGCAGGUGAAGUAUGACUGCAGCAGCAGCAGGUGUGCUCACAGGCUUGGCCAAGCUAAAACGCCAGGACUCCGCCCGCUCUCAGCAUCGAUCCUUACCACCUGGAUCCCCGGGCUUAGGAAACCCCAAUACUGAUCCUGUGCCAAGAAAGAGGAAGCGGCGCACUGAUGUGGUGGUGGUGCCUGGCAGGCUCCGCCUCUACUCGGCCUCCGGCUUCUUCCUCUUCCUGGGACUCAUCAUCCUGGGAAUAGGGAUCGGCAUGGCCACACUGGGUUACUGGCCGCACAGAAAAACCACACCCACAGGAGGAGGAAAUGGGGCCAAACUAGGGAAAGAUUUGGCCAACACAAGCCAUAAUGUGCAAGGCACACCUUCCAAGCAGACUGGGAGCGCCGUGAUGCGUUUCCUGCAACGACAUCUUCACUCUGAGAGGAUGAAGAUGCUUGGACCUUUCACCAUGGGCAUUGGGAUUUUUAUCUUCAUCUGUGCUAAUGCAAUCCUUCAUGAAAACAGAGACAGAGAAACAAAGAUCAUCCAUAUGAGAGAUAUGUACUCUACAGUCAUCGAUAUCCACCGCCUCAGGCAGAAGGAACAAAAACAUCACUAUCACCGCAACAGCACCUGUGUGAGAGAGUCAGCUGAUCUUCACGCUUUUGGGGGUGAUGCUGCUGCACGUUUUCCCAGCAACCCCCUCCUAGCGUUCUCCCCUUGGGGUGGAAGUGGAGGAGGAUCGGCGGAAGAGGAGGAGGUGUUGCUAGGGGAUGAAGAAUUUCAGAGACGUAACGAGCAGGCUAAAUUGGAUUGUAGCUUUGCAGGGUUGCUGGCUCCACUCUACAGGGAUCGUCCGUUUGGAGGUCCAGCGUUGGCCCACUCUGAUUCUGUGCGUCACCAGUGGUCAGUGGAUGGGGAUGCGGAGAGGGGAGGACACCACGCUGGCUCCAUUGUCUCUUCCUCCAUCUCUGCAUUUACACUUCCUGUAAUAAAACUCAACAAUUGUGUCAUUGAUGAACCAGAAAUGGAGGCGAUAACCGAGGAAGACAGAGGAGGGGAGACAGGCGAUGGAGAGAGGUCAAAACCUCUCUGCUCCACAGAGUGUCUUGUUGUGCCGGUGGCAUCUGUUGCAAAGGCCUCCAAGCCCCCAGGCUUACAGCGGAGUAACUCUGCCUCAUCAUCUUCCUCCCGCUGUUCUUUCUUCUCCUCCUCCACACUCUCCCCUGCUCCCUCCUCUACCUCAGGCUGUUGGCUUUCUCCAGGAGCAGCAAGGAGCGACUUUGGUUCUAAUACCUCUUUGCACAUGCUCAAUAGCCAUUCCAAAUCCCUGGAUUUAGAGCGCGGCUCUAGUGUUCUCAGUGUUCACCAGGAACAGAGGAAACACCCCAGCUGGCCCAGACUGGACCGCAGCAACAGCUGCCGCAGUCACGCUGGAAAUCGAGGCAGCAGUAAAGGCUACAUGCGCCUGGAGGACAGGGAGGAGCAAGGAGAGCAGCGAACAGACGUGUCAGCGUGCAUGGCGGCAAGACGCGACUACAGCAAACGUGAGAAGCUGCUAAUGAUAUCCAGGUCACACAACAAUCUGAGCUUUGAGCAUGACGAGUCGAAUAGUAGCACAAUGAAAAGAGGAAGCUCUGAGACUCAAUUCUGAAGACUCUGACAUGAACAAUGCAGAGGAAGCUCUCAUGUGGUGUUAGAAACAUUUUAUAGAAAAUCUGUAGAUUUGGUAUCAAUAAAUAGUGAAACCAAUUCAAUGAAAUGUUCAUACGUGACGUCUGCCUCAUGCUACUGCAUCCGUGCAGAGAGGCAGUUAACUUUGCUUGUGUUUGUCACUUUAGUCAAAGGAGGAAUGAAGAAUUAGCUUCCCAAAGGGAUGGUUGAAAGAAAUCCAUAUUGCAUCCAUCUUUUCUUUUCUGUAAAAAAAACAUUUACAGAUCCAGCAAAGCUUUGAUGUUAAAUCUGGACUGCGGUGACAGAAUACAACAAACAGACUCCAGACUGCCUGAAGCCACCUGAACUUUUCAGUAACUGUAUUAAAAGAAAAUGGUUGCAGAAGCUACCACCCUCCACCCUGGCUCCUACUGCAAACAAAAUCUGACCGCGUCUUUGCUACAGACUCUUUAAACUCUCACUUUUUAUGGUUUGCCCUUCAGGUAAUUGGAUUACCAGACUCUGGAGAGAUUCUGAUGGUAAAUGCUUGUUUUAUUUUUAAUAAGCUGCCAUGUGUGUGAUGUGUGAAAUGCAAAUCUCAUCCUUCACUACCAGAAUUUCCAAGUUGUUGAUUUGGUUUGAGAUAGGAAGGUAAUCAUUAUCCAGUUCAAUGUGGCAAUUAAAGUGAUUGACAGACACACCUUGCUAAACAGGCUGGAGCCUUUAUUAGGUGAUGGAGUCUUUUUCUCUUUAAACAAUAGCAUUUUAUGGUGGGGCUGACUUUUUCUCUGCUUUAUUUGUGCCCAGAAACUAAACAAUAUACAAAGAUCCACAUGAGUCAUCACCAAUUAAAAUGUUCUCUGCAGGGAUGUGAGAUUACAUAAACACAUACUUUGGUUUGUAUGGCCACGUCUAUGAGAUACAGACACAAGUGUGUCUCAUUACCCAAUGCAACCCAACACCAUGUAACCACCACCACAAAACUGAAGCCAGAACCAAAUCCACAAACAGAAUAGUUUUAUUUUAAAGUUUGAAGCUCAAAAAUGCCUUCUAUCAAUCCAGCAGUACAUAUGUGCAUUCAAAGAUUCAAAACCAAACACAGAAAUACAGACAAUAACAGCAGAAUGGUGACAUUUUUGUCUCAUCUCUCUCUUUGUUAGAGGGAACAGAUGCGAGGAAUAAACUGUGCUGAAGGCAGCAGACAUAUUUAGGCAGCACGGCCGGAUGAUGUCUCAUCCUGUUAACAUUAAACAUGCAAACUAAAAUUACUUUAUCCUUUGGAGAGGUUUUCUCAACUCCCUCUGUUGAGCUAACCCCUGAUUUAUGACUAAAUUUAAAUUUUAGAAGCAGAUUUGUUUAUUUUGCCCUCAGCAACCAAUUAAAACGAUGGAAAAUAAUUUAGAUUCCUCUUUGGGAUUUGCUUCUGUGUGUCAACUGCUUCUAUCACUAUAAUAUACACAGAGAAGUCGACCCAACAGAUGUAGGCAUUAAAUAAAAAACAAACAUUUCCUGCCGUAUCAAAGUCAUGUGUCUUGUUUGUGUUUAGCCCUUUAAAGACCAGAUGAAAAUGGGGUUUAAAACAUGUUCUUGGGACAUUUUUCCAAUGAUGGAGGACAUAUUUAAGGAAAAUUAGCUUAUAACGGCAUUUCUGAGUUUUUAUACAUUAAAACCACUGUGAAUCAGGAGCAGAUGAAAAAGUGUUGUUUGAAAAAAGCUUAUAGCUGUGACGUAGAAGCUACAAUCGGCAGGCCACAGGUCACUUCUCUGAUGCAUACACUUGUAGACGACUAGAUUCAUCUUUGCUUUCCUUGUCUGAGCUGCCGUUUUUCUCAAAGCUGUAUGGCUGGAUUGCUCCAAUAUUGCUCGCCAUUUCCGUUGCACCGAUAUUGUUAGGUUGGGGGUGUAAGGGCCUGAAAGCUAGAGAGUAUAAACAGAGGCUGAUGGAAAAUGAGGACAGUAUUACUCCGCUGCAACAUUCCCAUCCACAAAUCAGGAGUGAAUUUCUAAUGAACCCCAGCUGCUAAAAGCUUUUGGCUAAAAGCAGUAUAAUUAUAAUUAAAAUAACACUGUGAAAACCUUAACAACAGAUCAAAAGAUAAUUGGAGUGGGACUUCAGCAUCAUACAUAAUGCCGGCACUUCCUCUGUGACGUACCAUUAUUCUUUGACCGUUUAUGCAGUUAGCAAGAAUCAGUUCAUUCUGGCAUGGAAAAAGGCAGAUUUUCAUAUCGGUUUUGCACCAACAUGCAACACAAUAAUAACAUAAUUACUAUAGCAAAGCCGCUUUUUUCCACAACAGAAUCAGCUAUUUCACAUCAAUUGCGUAAACACGUAACAACUGUGUAGCAUGUCAUGGUGAGUCUGCUGUUUUCUACUUCAGAAUCCACUGGAAUCACGUUAAUUGCAUGAACAGUUGAAGAGUUAGUUAGUCAAAAAAUGUCAACACUGGAGCUAAAGCUUUGGUGUUAAAGGGUUAAAAGACAGAGUUAGCUAAGUUACAAGGCCAGCUUUGACCCAAACAACUGAACAUGGCCUAAAACAAGUGCAGAAUAUAGCCUUUUUGGGGGGUUAUGCCUUAAUUCUUUGACAGAUAGUAAUGAUGCCAAAUUUUAUUUUGUGUUUCAGCAUCAAGAAAUACUUGAGGCGCUCCCAUGUUCUCGACAUCAUUAGGGUUUCUGUCAAGUCCAAUUUGUUACGAACAGACAACUUGUGCCUUCGCACCUCCUGGCUUGUGUGACGCUCUGAAACAAAUCGACACACUCUGAGCCUUUGGGGAGCUUCUCCGUGUCUGGAGACGCUGCUUAUCAUCCAGUGAUGUAAUGAAACAUACAUUCAAAGAAAGUUGAAACGUUUUACAGCCUGCUUGGCACUUAUUCAUUCGACGCCUUCCAUUGACCGCCAGACAACUCUGUCCACUUAAAAUUAGUAACCAGGAGUGAGGAUUAAAAGUUUUUUUUAAUAUUUCCAUCUGCUGAUGCUAAGGAGCAGUUUAUUUAAAGUUACUAAAGGUAUCAUGUAAACACAAAAAAACAAAUGAAUUGGUCUGGUCUAGUAUUUUCAGUCAACAGCUAAGCUGAUGACGUGUUUUUAAGUUGUUAAAUAUCAAACCUGUUUUCCCUGCUAUGAUACAACAAUGCAAACUGCUUCUUAUAAUCAGAAUCAGAAUCAGAAUAGGCUUUAUUACAGUACAGUGCAUGUACAAGGAAUUUGGCUUGUGCUCUUGUGCAAACUAGAAAGAUAUAAACAAGUUUAAAGGAGUAAAACAGGAGAGGAUAAAUAAUAAAAAGAAAGUACAAUGAGGUAGAUAUAGGAAUAUUUAAACAUAACUAAACAAAAUGUGCAACAGUAGUUCUGGUGUGACAGUUUCUGUGGUUUUGUUCGGUGUUCUUAAGUGGUCUGGAGCCAGGAGUUCAUUAGAGUGACAGCUCGGGGGAAGAAGCUGUCCUUGUGGCGAGUGGUUUUGGUGCGCAUGGUCCUAAAGCCCCGCCCUGACGGGAUAAGGCUGAAAAGGCAAUAGUUCAAUGGAUGAGAGGUGUCCUUUGCAAUUCUGCAAGCCCGCUUCCUGACCCUGGACCAGUACAAAACCUGAAUGGAGGGAAGAGUGGAACCAAUAAUCCUCUCAGCAGAUCUGAUGAUUCUCUGUAGUCUGUUCCUGUCAUGUCUAGUUGCUGAUCCAAACCAGACCGUGACGGAUGUGGUCAGGACAGGCUGGAUUAUUGCUGUGUAGAAGAUGGUCAGCAAAAGCCACCAGAGGUUGGCUUUUGGGAUUCACAAAUUAACAUUUUUUGUACAGAUGACAUCAAACACAGAAUACACAAACCCUGUAGGAUAAAAUAUGAAGACAUGAAAUGAAAAAUAGAAAUAAACUAUUUUACAAAGAAGCCUCUACGUUGAACCAUUAGGCCAGCAAGGAAAAGCAAGAAGACAGAUGAAGAUGUUCAAUUAAGAAGAAUUUGUUUUUAUGUGAUUUAAGUGAAAGAAGAUUCCAGAAGGGAACAUGUUGUCCUUGUGUUUUUGUAAUAACGGCGCUGAUGUGAGCAUUUCACGGACAUACCGGCAAUCAACUAAUCAGCAGUAAUUACCGCAACACAUCUGGAGGCUAAAUUGAAUGGAUUGCAGAUUAGCUGAGUUACCUGCAUUAAUGCAGCUGCCACACAUUGCAGAAAUGCAUGGUUGAGAAUGAGCAAUGCAUAAUUAGUUAUGGAAGUGAGUCACCCACUCAAGAACAUAUUGGCUCUAAAUGAGUGAAUGCUCAAUUUUUUUGCAUUUUCUAUUAAAAUGGUUAAUUUAUUCAUACUGUUUUCAUAAUAUCUGUUCAUCUCCAGAGAAGAGAAUUGUGCAUCUACAAAAUGUGUUUUGGGUUCAGCGCAUAAACAGAUUCUAACUUUGCUUAUAAUGUGCAGGUUGAGCGCUUGCCAUGUCGCCGUUAAGUCACUCUAAUCCCCUCUUCCAGUCCCUCCCUGUCACUCUGUUGCAAAUCCAGCGCAAUUAAGUAGAAAAACUGGGAGUAUCAUUGAAAGAGCCUUGUGGCAGUUGUCAUAGAGUGUGUUCAUGUGUCUGUCAGUGGGUUUGUGCACUUGCAAUGAAGCAGCAGUGGGGGUGCCAGCCCAGUUGCCAUAGCAGCCGGAGAUGUGCUCUGGACCCCUGCCUGAGGAGCAAACUCACUUGUGCACACAUAAAAACACAGACUGGGCUUUCAAUAAAA
Oryzias latipes (Japanese medaka) is the source of this 7095-nucleotide non-coding RNA. NCBI's taxonomy places the organism in Eukaryota, Metazoa, Chordata, Actinopteri, Beloniformes, Adrianichthyidae. The record is from RefSeq and is a predicted model, not a curated record.